This 578-nucleotide ribosomal RNA is filed under the name uncultured bacterium. Its description in RNAcentral is "bacterial SSU rRNA". It matches the Rfam family "Bacterial small subunit ribosomal RNA", at positions 31 to 600 of the family's 1533-position model. The record is from RNAcentral.
GAACGCUGGCGGCAGGCUUAACACAUGCAAGUCGAGCGGUAACAGGGGGUGCUUGCACCCCGCUGACGAGCGGCGGACGGGUGAGUAAUGCUUAGGAAUCUGCCCAGUAGUGGGGGAUAGCCCGGGGAAACCCGGAUUAAUACCGCAUACGUCCUACGGGAGAAAGCAGGGGAUCUUCGGACCUUGCGCUAUUGGAUGAGCCUAAGUCGGAUUAGCUAGUUGGUGGGGUAAAGGCCUACCAAGGCGACGAUCCGUAGCUGGUUUGAGAGGAUGAUCAGCCACAUCGGGACUGAGACACGGCCCGAACUCCUACGGGAGGCAGCAGUGGGGAAUAUUGGACAAUGGGGGCAACCCUGAUCCAGCCAUGCCGCGUGUGUGAAGGAGGCUUUCGGGUUGUAAAGCACUUUCAGUGAGGAGGAAAACCUUACGGUUAAUAACCGUGAGGCUUGACGUUACUCACAGGAGAAGCACCGGCUAACUCCGUGCCAGCAGCCGCGGUAAUACGGAGGGUGCAAGCGUUAAUCGGAAUUACUGGGCGUAAAGCGCGCGUAGGUGGUUCGAUAAGCGGGAUGUGAAAG